AACGAACGCUGGCGGCAGGCCUAACACAUGCAAGUCGAACGAGAAGCCACCUUCGGGUGGUGGACAGUGGCAGACGGGUGAGUAACGCGUGGGAACGUGCCUUUCGGUUCGGAAUAACCUAGGGAAACUUGGGCUAAUACCGGAUACGCCCUCCGGGGGAAAGAUUCAUCGCCGAAAGAUCGGCCCGCGUCGGAUUAGCUAGUUGGUGGGGUAAUGGCUCACCAAGGCGACGAUCCGUAGCUGGUCUGAGAGGAUGACCAGCCACAAUGGGACUGAGACACGGCCCAGACUCCUACGGGAGGCAGCAGUGGGGAAUAUUGGACAAUGGGCGAAAGCCUGAUCCAGCCACGCCGCGUGGGUGAAGAAGGCCUUAGGGUUGUAAACCCCUUUCAGCGGGGAAGAUAAUGACGGUACCCGCAGAAGAAGUCCCGGCUAACUCCGUGCCAGCAGCCGCGGUAA
RNAcentral lists this ribosomal RNA (459 nucleotides) under uncultured bacterium. RNAcentral's name for it is "partial 16S ribosomal RNA". It matches the Rfam family "Bacterial small subunit ribosomal RNA", at positions 29 to 523 of the family's 1533-position model. The record is from RNAcentral.